This 274-nucleotide ribosomal RNA is filed under the name uncultured bacterium. RNAcentral's name for it is "partial 16S ribosomal RNA". It matches the Rfam family "Bacterial small subunit ribosomal RNA", at positions 523 to 796 of the family's 1533-position model. The record is from RNAcentral.
AUACGGAGGGUCCAAGCGUUAUCCGGAAUCAUUGGGUUUAAAGGGUCCGUAGGCGGGCAAUUAAGUCAGGGGUGAAAUCCCACAGCUCAACUGUGGAACUGCCUUUGAUACUGGUUGUCUUGAAUUAUAGUGAAGUAGAUAGAAUAUGUAGUGUAGCGGUGAAAUGCAUAGAUAUUACAUAGAAUACCGAUUGCGAAGGCAGUCUACUAACUAUAUAUUGACGCUGAUGGACGAAAGCGUGGGGAGCGAACAGGAUUAGAUACCCCAGUAGUCC